CAGAAUAUAGCUUAAAUUAAAGCUCCUCGCUUACACCGAAUUAAUGUCCGUUAAAUCCGAACUACUCUGAG
Molecule: transfer RNA, 71 nt
Filed under: Pristimantis sp. SBH-2008
Lineage: Eukaryota; Metazoa; Chordata; Amphibia; Anura; Strabomantidae
Description: tRNA-Val
Rfam family: tRNA
About the family: Transfer RNA (tRNA) molecules are approximately 80 nucleotides in length. Their secondary structure includes four short double-helical elements and three loops (D, anti-codon, and T loops).
Source: RNAcentral